Phoenix dactylifera (date palm) is the source of this 2797-nucleotide non-coding RNA. The record is from RefSeq and is a predicted model, not a curated record. Lineage: Eukaryota; Viridiplantae; Streptophyta; Magnoliopsida; Arecales; Arecaceae.
CAAAGUCGGAAGAGUGGCUGUUGUAUGAAACGACUGAAUGACUUGGAGGGAAAUCGCCGUGGAAGCCCACGGAGAAGAAGUUUUAAGGAGUUUGAGGCUUUCUUCUUCCAACAUCUCCAUGGAUCGAUUUAACAUGGGAUGAGCAGAGGAGGGGACGUUGAAACAAAAAGGAUAGGGUGCAUCUGAGGCAGGCUGUUGCUCAUUGGAUCAGGAAUCAGGAUAUAAGGACACAUUACGGUCUCCUUUUGGGUCCUCUUAUACUAGUCAUCUAGGGUGAUACUUGUGUUGGGCUAUGGCAGAGUGUCCUAAGAUAGCUGUUGCUCAAGACGAGCCAGUGAUCACCCCAGAAGAAAGAAGUAAAAGUGACAUUGAACAGCGGCUUGGGUUCUUGGAGGACAAGAUCCUGAGUUGGGAUUCUGAUCAGUCCAUGAUUUGGGAUCGUGAUCCAGAGGAAGCUUCUAAGUAUUUAAAGGCGGUGCAUGAAGUCCAACUGCUCACUGAAAACUUGGGAGGCUUGCAUUUAGACAUUGAAGACAGGGAGCAUGAUGUACUCUUGAGCCGUGCAUAUAGUAUUCUACAGAUGGCAAUGGCAAGGCUGGAAGAGGAGUUUAUUCACCUUCUCAUUCAGUACCAGCAACCUGUGGAGCCUGACCGCAUGUCUUUUCGCUCGAGUGAAGAGGAUUCUGUAGAUGAUUAUUCAUUUAGCUCCUUUGACGAGGAGCAAGUUGAGGGUAGAAUUCAUGGUGAUAGUAGCAGGGGCUCAGAAGAGUUUGUCAUUGAUUUGGUUCACUCUUGUGCAAUCUUUGACCUUAAACGUAUAGCUGAAAUGAUGUUCUUGGCCAACUAUGACAAGGAAUGUUGUCAGGCUUAUAUCAGUCUUAGAAAAGAUGCACUAGAUGAAUGCUUAUCUGUUCUCCGCAUGGAAAAGUUGAGUAUUGAAGAUGUUCUGAAGAUGGAUUGGACUACAUUAAAUUGCAAGAUCAAGAGGUGGAACCGCAUGAUAAAAGUUUUCAUUCGGGUCUAUCUUGUCAGUGAAAGACGGCUCUCCGACCUUAUCUUCGGGGACUUGUCCCAGUCUGUAAGAGACUCUUGUUUUGUUGAGACCUCAAAGAGCUCAAUCCUGCAACUCCUCAACUUUGGUGAAGCUGUAGCAAUUGGAUCUAUGCAGCCAGAAAAGCUAUUCCGGAUACUUGAUAUGUAUGAAAGUUUGGCAGAUCUCAUCAUGGACAUAGAAGCUUUGUUUCCCGAAGAGUAUGGUGCCUGCAUCUUAUUAGAUUGUCACGAGGUGUUGUUGAGAUUGGGUGAAUAUUUGAAGGGUACCUUAAAUGAGUUGAAGAAUGCCAUUCGAACUAACACAUCAAACAUUCCACUUGUUGGAGGUGGAAUACAUCCUCUUACAAAGUAUGUCAUGAACUACAUAAGGGUCCUGGUUGAUUAUAAUGAGAUCCUCAAUACGCUUCUUGAAGAUCAAGAUAGGAAGAACCAGUGCUCACCGUCAGAAGAUGGUGGGAGGAGCUCCUGUCUCAAUUCCUCUCCAAUGAGUGACUACCUCAAGGAUGCAACCUCAAUUCUUGAAUCAAGCCUCGAGACUAAAUCGAUGCUGUACAAAGAGGAUUCCUUGCAGUAUUUUUUUAAGAUGAAUAAUGUUUGCUACAUGGUCUGCAAGGUCAGGGACUCUGAGCUUCGAAUAUUUCUUGGAGAUGACUGGAUCCGUGAGCACAAAAGGAAGUUCCGUCAGCAUGCUAUGAGCUAUGAGAGGGCUUCAUGGAAUCAUGUUCUCUCAUUCUUGAAGGAUGAGGGAAUUUGGAACCCAGGUUCUAGCACUCCUUCAAAGACAACUCUAAAGGAGAGAUUCCAAAAUUUCAACCUUGCAUUUGAAGAGGUAUACAGGGUCCAGACAGCAUGGAUAAUCCCAGAUGUCCAGCUUCGAGAAGAUCUGAGAAUCUCGAUAUCACUCAAGGUGCUACAAGCAUAUCGAACUUUCAUGGGUCGGUAUAGUAGUUACCUAGAUGGUGUGAGACAGCGUGACAAGUACAUCAAGUACUACCCAGAUGAUCUGGAAAGCUGCCUGCUGGAUCUCUUUGAGGGGUCACCAAAGGUUCUGCAUUACCCUCGUAGGAGGUGAAACCAAAGCUGGCAAUGUUUUUCAGGUUGCUAUUUCCCUUUUUCUGUCGCAAAAAAUUUCAUGAGCUAUUCAUGUUUGACAACUAGCAUCAGCAAGUUCUCAUACAUAAUUCGGUGUUUAAUCUUAAAGUUGACAUUUACGGAUGAUUUCUGGGUAAGUAGGCUCCUAUAGGUUGCUUUUUCUGUCAUUUCCAAUGAUACUAUGAUAGUUGGUAUACAUCACUAUAUGUAAACUAUUUCUUUUAAGGUUCUGGAUCUUGGCUCCAGCACACAACAACAUAUGCACUUUGAGAAGCCUUUUCAUUGGGAGUAUUUUGGUGGGAGACUAUGUGAAUACAUGUGAGUAAGCUGAUUUCUGAUGUUUAUGAACUAAUCGAAGGCAAGAAUAUGGUAAAAUAUACCACAGCCUCAUCUUCCUCUUAUGUUUGGUUACGAUCAUUCUAUGGUGCAUUUGUACUUCAGCUAGUUUGUCACUGGUCUUUUUUUUUUUCCCAGUGGGGGUUGAUCGGAAUUGCUCUGCUGGUAUAGUUUUGAAUUGUCCUGAACUUUCGAAAUAAGUGACUAUUUCAUUGGGACAUUUGCAUCUCUUGUAGGAAGACAAAAGAAUCAUAUGUUUGUAUCCUUGUUUUUAAGAAUGCAGAUAGAGGCGAGGAUAUGCUUUCCUCAGUGCUCA